GAUGAACGCUAGCGGCAGGCCUAACACAUGCAAGUCGAGGGGCAUCGCGGUGCAGCAAUGCACUGGCGGCGACCGGCGUACGGGUGCGUGACGCGUAUGCAACCUGCCCCGCACCGGGGGAUAGCCCGCCGAAAGGCGGAUUAAUACCCCAUGGUCCCGGGGGCCCGCAUGGGCAUCCGGGUAAAGCCUUGGCGGUGCGGGAUGGGCAUGCGUGCCAUUAGCUGGCUGGUGGGGUAACGGCCCACCAGGGCAACGAUGGCUAGGGGGUCUGAGAGGAUGGUCCCCCACACUGGUACUGAGACACGGACCAGACUCCUACGGGAGGCAGCAGUGAGGAAUAUUGGUCAAUGGGCGGAAGCCUGAACCAGCCAUGCCGCGUGCGGGAUGAAGGCCCUACGGGUUGUAAACCGCUUUUCCCCGGGAAGAAUAACCCCGAUGAGUCGGGUGAUGCCGGUACCGGGGAAUAAGGAUCGGCUAACUCCGUG
Molecule: ribosomal RNA, 485 nt
Filed under: uncultured bacterium
Lineage: Bacteria
Description: bacterial SSU rRNA
Rfam family: Bacterial small subunit ribosomal RNA
Source: RNAcentral